This 405-nucleotide ribosomal RNA is filed under the name Pseudomonas sp. 2995-1. RNAcentral's name for it is "bacterial LSU rRNA". It matches the Rfam family "Bacterial large subunit ribosomal RNA", at positions 1377 to 1775 of the family's 2925-position model. The record is from RNAcentral. Lineage: Bacteria; Pseudomonadati; Pseudomonadota; Gammaproteobacteria; Pseudomonadales; Pseudomonadaceae.
GGGUAAGUCGGGACCUAAGCCGAGGCCGAAAGGCGUAGGCGAUGGCAAACAGGUUGAAAUUCCUGUACCACCACGUCACCGUUUGAGCAACGGGGGGACGCAGGAAGGUAGGGUAAGCGCGCUGAUGGAUAUGCGCGUCCAAGCAGUUAGGCUGACAAGUAGGCAAAUCCGCUUGUCAUAAAGGCUGAGCUGUGAUGGCGAGGGAAAUAUUAGUACCGAAAUUCCUGAUCCUACACUGCCAAGAAAAGCCUCUAGCGAGGUGACUGGUGCCCGUACCGCAAACCGACACAGGUAGGCGGGAAGAGAAUUCUAAGACGCGCGGGAGAACUCUCGUUAAGGAACUCGGCAAAAUGACCCCGUAACUUCGGGAGAAGGGGUGCUCUAUUAGGGUUUACGCCCGAGAGA